This 354-nucleotide long non-coding RNA is filed under the name Mus pahari (shrew mouse). Its description in RNAcentral is "lncRNA (MGP_PahariEiJ_G0004623.1)". Lineage: Eukaryota; Metazoa; Chordata; Mammalia; Rodentia; Muridae. The record is from RNAcentral.
CUGACUGACCAAUAAUCUUUCUGAAAGGAUGACAAACAAGGAGAAAAAAGGAAGGCAUUUCAUGGCAUCAUAAACAUCGUGCUUUAUUUUUCAUCUCACGGAGCCUGUCUGGGUUUGGUUACGCUCGGGAGCUCGACGAGGACUCAGAAGCCAACACACAUAAGAAAAAUCGCGUCACUGCCGCCACUGAGGCGCACGAAGGAGCAGACGCGGCUCUCGGCGUCCAUCUGUGUGUGUCCAGCGGUCAUCAAUCACUCCUGGAAUGGGACCUGCGUGGGUGGAGCGGCACUCUAGUCCUGGGUAAAUAAGCAAAGAAAUGUGCUCAAAGAGAGGCUGCGAGGGCACAGGGAGGUG